Molecule: ribosomal RNA, 1619 nt
Filed under: Blautia schinkii
Lineage: Bacteria; Bacillati; Bacillota; Clostridia; Lachnospirales; Lachnospiraceae
Description: partial 23S ribosomal RNA
Rfam family: Bacterial large subunit ribosomal RNA
Source: RNAcentral
GAAGAGAGAAUGCCGGAAUGAGUAGCGAGAUAGAGGUGGGAAUCCUCUAGGCCGAAUAUCCAAGGUUUCCAGGGUAAAGCUGAUCUGCCCUGGGUGAGUCGGGACCUAAGGUGAGGGCGGGAGCCGUAGCCGAUGGACAACAGGUUGAUAUUCCUGUACUGCAGUAUAACAGAACUGUGGGGACACGUAAGGAGAGCGGGAGCCGGGAAUGGAAAGUCCGGUACAAGCGAGGUACCAGUAUGGUAGGAAAAUCCGCCAUGCAAUGGGAAGACGUGAUGUGGAGCGAAAUUUAGUAGCGAAGCCCGUGAGCCAUGCGUCAAGAAAAGCCGCUAUUGUUUAUACUGUACCCGUACCGUAAACCGACACAGGUGGAUGAGGAGAGAAUCCUAAGGCCGGCGGAAGAAGUAUUGCCAAGGAACUCGGCAAAAUGGCCCCGUAACUUAGGGAGAAGGGGUGCCUGCGAGAGCAGGCCGCAGAGAAUAGGCUCAAGCAACUGUUUAGCAAAAACACAGGUCUAUGCGAAACCGAAAGGUGAGGUAUAUGGGCUGACGCCUGCCCGGUGCUGGAAGGUUAAGAGGAGAGGUUAGACGUAAGUCGAAGCUUUGAAUUUAAGCCCCAGUAAACGGCGGCCGUAACUAUAACGGUCCUAAGGUAGCGAAAUUCCUUGUCGGGUAAGUUCCGACCCGCACGAAAGGCGUAAUGAUUUGAGCGCUGUCUCGGCAAUACAUCCGGUGAAAUUGAAGUGCCAGUGAAGAUGCUGGCUACCCGCGCCAGGACGGAAAGACCCCAUGGAGCUUUACUCCAGUUUGGCACUGGGGUCCGGUGUUGCAUGUACAGGAUAGGUGGGAGGCUGAGAAACGGUAACGUCAGUUGCCGCGGAGCCGCUGUUGGGAUACCACCCUUGUGAUAUUGGGCUUCUAACCAGCCGCCGUGAUCCGGCGGUGGGACAAUGCCAGGCGGGGAGUUUGACUGGGGCGGUCGCCUCCGAAAGGGUAUCGGAGGCGCCCAAAGGUUCCCUCAGAAUGGACGGAAACCAUUCGAAGAGUGCAAAGGCAGAAGGGAGCUUGACUGCGACACCGACGGGUGGAGCAGGUACGAAAGUAGGGCUUAGUGAUCCGGUGGUAUUAAGUGGGAAUGCCAUCGCUCAACGGAUAAAAGCUACCCUGGGGAUAACAGGCUUAUCACUCCCAAGAGUUCACAUCGACGGAGUGGUUUGGCACCUCGAUGUCGGCUCAUCGCAUCCUGGGGCUGUAGUAGGUCCCAAGGGUUGGGCUGUUCGCCCAUUAAAGCGGUACGCGAGCUGGGUUCAGAACGUCGUGAGACAGUUCGGUCCCUAUCCGGCGUGGGCGUAGGAUAUCUGAGAGGAGCUGUCCUUAGUACGAGAGGACCGGGAUGGACGGACCGCUGGUGGACCGGUUGGCUUGCCAAAGCCAUGGCCGGGUAGCCAAGUCCGGAAGGGAUAAACGCUGAAGGCAUCUAAGCGUGAAGCCCCCCUCAAGAUGAGAUAUCCCAUUCUUAUGAAGUAAACCCCCUUGAAGACGACGAGGUAGAUAGGGCAGAGGUGGAAGUGUGGUAACACAUGGAGCUGACUGUUACUAAUCGGGUGAGGGCUUGACCAA